AUGAACGCUAGCUACAGGCUUAACACAUGCAAGUCGAGGGGCAGCAUGGUCUUAGCUUGCUAAGGCCGAUGGCGACCGGCGCACGGGUGAGUAACACGUAUCCAACCUGCCGUCUACUCUUGGACAGCCUUCUGAAAGGAAGAUUAAUACAAGAUGGCAUCAUGAGUCCGCAUGUUCACAUGAUUAAAGGUAUUCCGGUAGACGAUGGGGAUGCGUUCCAUUAGAUAGUAGGCGGGGUAACGGCCCACCUAGGCUUCGAUGGAUAGGGGUUCUGAGAGGAAGGUCCCCCACAUUGGAACUGCGACACGGUCCAAACUCCUACGGGAGGCAGCAGUGAGGAAUAUUGAUCAAUGGGCGAGAGCCUGAACCAGCCAAGUAGCGUGAAGGACGACUGCCCUAUGGGUUGUAAACUUCUUUUAUAAAGGAAUAAAGUCGGGUAUGGAUACCCGUUUGCAUGUACUUUAUGAAUAAGGAUCGGCUAACUCCGUG
RNAcentral lists this ribosomal RNA (489 nucleotides) under uncultured bacterium. RNAcentral describes it as "partial 16S ribosomal RNA". It matches the Rfam family "Bacterial small subunit ribosomal RNA", at positions 29 to 507 of the family's 1533-position model. The record is from RNAcentral.